RNAcentral lists this transfer RNA (78 nucleotides) under Cordylochernes scorpioides. Its description in RNAcentral is "tRNA-Val". The record is from RNAcentral. Lineage: Eukaryota; Metazoa; Arthropoda; Arachnida; Pseudoscorpiones; Chernetidae.
UGUCCAAUGCGGGGAUCGAACCCGGGUCGUAGUGGUCGUAAACCAAACGGUUUAACCAGCCUUCCACAUAAUUAUGAC